UGGUAAGAAUUGGAUUAUUUAAUUUCUCUCGAAAUCUACAGAGCUAGUUUAAGGUAUAGUUAUAGCUAUUAUAGGUGAGUGUGGCAAAACUUUGUAAAACCUUAAAGUAGAAGUUAAAUUCUAUUCGUGUUAGAUGAUAGCUAGUUCCACUAGAAAUAUAUAAAAGUAUAGGAGCUUAGAUUAGACUAAAUUAGAAGUUAGUACUAAGAUUUAAAGUUAGGUAUCUCAUCUAUAGGAGGUUUAGCUCAUGUAGUAAUAUGUAAUGUGAUAUAUGUUAAUAAUAAAAUUUAAGCUUAUGAGUGGCUAAAAUUUUGAGUUUGUUAUAAAAUAUUUGUUUUAGGAUUCUAGUUUGCUAGAUUUAUAUUGGCAAAACUAUGAAUUAAUCAAUAGUUUUGGUAUAUGCUAGUAUGAGUAUUUAAUAUUGGAAAAUAAUUAAUUAUGUAAUUAUAUGUUGAUUAAAGUUUGUUAUAGUUUCUUGAAAUAUUAAAAAGGAAUUCGGCAAAAAUUUACUUCGCCUGUUUAGCAAAAACAUGGCUCUCUG
RNAcentral lists this ribosomal RNA (541 nucleotides) under Leptopoma tigris. Its description in RNAcentral is "partial 16S ribosomal RNA". The record is from RNAcentral. Lineage: Eukaryota; Metazoa; Mollusca; Gastropoda; Architaenioglossa; Cyclophoridae.